AAAUUGAAGAGUUUGAUCAUGGCUCAGAUUGAACGCUGGCGGCAGGCCUAACACAUGCAAGUCGAACGGUAACAGGAAGCAGCUUGCUGCUUUGCUGACGAGUGGCGGACGGGUGAGUAAUGUCUGGGAAACUGCCUGAUGGAGGGGGAUAACUACUGGAAACGGUGGCUAAUACCGCAUAAUGUCGCAAGACCAAAGAGGGGGACCUUCGGGCCUCUUGCCAUCAGAUGUGCCCAGAUGGGAUUAGCUUGUUGGUGAGGUAACGGCUCACCAAGGCGACGAUCCCUAGCUGGUCUGAGAGGAUGACCAGCCACACUGGAACUGAGACACGGUCCAGACUCCUACGGGAGGCAGCAGUGGGGAAUAUUGCACAAUGGGCGCAAGCCUGAUGCAGCCAUGCCGCGUGUAUGAAGAAGGCCUUCGGGUUGUAAAGUACUUUCAGCGGGGAGGAAGGUGUUGUGGUUAAUAACCGCAGCAAUUGACGUUACCCGCAGAAGAAGCACCGGCUAACUCCGUGCCAGCAGCCGCGGUAAUACGGAGGGUGCAAGCGUUAAUCGGAAUUACUGGGCGUAAAGCGCACGCAGGCGGUCUGUCAAGUCGGAUGUGAAAUCCCCGGGCUCAACCUGGGAACUGCAUUCGAAACUGGCAGGCUUGAGUCUUGUAGAGGGGGGUAGAAUUCCAGGUGUAGCGGUGAAAUGCGUAGAGAUCUGGAGGAAUACCGGUGGCGAAGGCGGCCCCCUGGACAAAGACUGACGCUCAGGUGCGAAAGCGUGGGGAGCAAACAGGAUUAGAUACCCUGGUAGUCCACGCCGUAAACGAUGUCUACUUGGAGGUUGUGCCCUUGAGGCGUGGCUUCCGGAGCUAACGCGUUAAGUAGACCGCCUGGGGAGUACGGCCGCAAGGUUAAAACUCAAAUGAAUUGACGGGGGCCCGCACAAGCGGUGGAGCAUGUGGUUUAAUUCGAUGCAACGCGAAGAACCUUACCUGGUCUUGACAUCCACGGAAGAAUUCAGAGAUGGAUUUGUGCCUUCGGGAACCGUGAGACAGGUGCUGCAUGGCUGUCGUCAGCUCGUGUUGUGAAAUGUUGGGUUAAGUCCCGCAACGAGCGCAACCCUUAUCCUUUGUUGCCAGCGGUCCGGCCGGGAACUCAAAGGAGACUGCCAGUGAUAAACUGGAGGAAGGUGGGGAUGACGUCAAGUCAUCAUGGCCCUUACGACCAGGGCUACACACGUGCUACAAUGGCGCAUACAAAGAGAAGCGACCUCGCGAGAGCAAGCGGACCUCAUAAAGUGCGUCGUAGUCCGGAUUGGAGUCUGCAACUCGACUCCAUGAAGUCGGAAUCGCUAGUAAUCGUGGAUCAGAAUGCCACGGUGAAUACGUUCCCGGGCCUUGUACACACCGCCCGUCACACCAUGGGAGUGGGUUGCAAAAGAAGUAGGUAGCUUAACCUUCGGGAGGGCGCUUACCACUUUGUGAUUCAUGACUGGGGUGAAGUCGUAACAAGGUAACCGUAGGGGAACCUGCGGUUGGAUCACCUCCUUACCUUAAAGAA
This 1552-nucleotide ribosomal RNA is filed under the name Salmonella enterica. RNAcentral's name for it is "bacterial SSU rRNA". It matches the Rfam family "Bacterial small subunit ribosomal RNA". The record is from RNAcentral. Lineage: Bacteria; Pseudomonadati; Pseudomonadota; Gammaproteobacteria; Enterobacterales; Enterobacteriaceae.